UGCGCGGGAGAGCGCUUGCAUGGCAUGCAAGAGGUCGGCGGUUCGAUCCCGCUAGUCUCCACCA
Molecule: transfer RNA, 64 nt
Filed under: Paenibacillus baekrokdamisoli
Lineage: Bacteria; Bacillati; Bacillota; Bacilli; Caryophanales; Paenibacillaceae
Description: tRNA-Ala
Source: RNAcentral